GAGGAGGAGGGAGAGUGACGAUGAAGGGAGGAGGGGGGAGGAAGGGGAGGUGAUUCCAUGAGUGAUUUGGAGCCAGAGAGCGUUGAUCAUGAGACAUGCAUUGGAAGAAUCAACAAAAUCAAUAAACAGCAGAUGAACCAAUGGCAAGGGGCCGGGUCGAUCAGGUGACCCCGACGCUGCGGGGGGGAGCUGGGACAUGUUUCAAUCUUAUGUUCAUCAAGAUAUGAGAUGUUAUUGUGAUGUAAUGCCAUGGGCAUUCUUGCUUUACCACACACACACACACACACACACACACACACACACACACACACACACACACACACACACACACACACACACACACACACACACACACACACACACACACACACACACACACACACACACACACACA
Long non-coding RNA from Gadus macrocephalus (Pacific cod), 394 nucleotides. RefSeq lists it as uncharacterized. The transcript has 2 exons. The record is from RefSeq and is a predicted model, not a curated record. NCBI's taxonomy places the organism in Eukaryota, Metazoa, Chordata, Actinopteri, Gadiformes, Gadidae.